GAAAUGCGAUAAGUAAUGUGAAUUGCAGAAUUCAGUGAAUCAUCGAAUCUUUGAACGCACAUUGCGCCCGCCAGUAUUCUGGCGGGCAUGCCUGUCCGAGCGUCAUUUCAACCUUCAAGCCCCCGGGCUUGUGUUGGGGACCUGCGGCUGCCCGCAGGCCCUGAAAACCAGUGGCGGGCUCGCUGUCACACCGAGCGUAGUAGCAAUCACCUCGCUCAGGGCGUGCUGCGGGUUCCGGCCGUUAAACAGCCUUACAAAACCCAAGGUUGACCUCGGAUCAGGUAGGAAGACCCGCUGAACUUAAGC
This 306-nucleotide unclassified non-coding RNA is filed under the name plant metagenome. RNAcentral's name for it is "partial contains 5.8S ribosomal RNA, internal transcribed spacer 2, and large subunit ribosomal RNA". The stretch from base 1 to 105 matches the Rfam family "5.8S ribosomal RNA", at positions 50 to 154 of the family's 154-position model. The record is from RNAcentral.